AACCAAAAGAGUCUGAACAGAAACGAGUUCAUAGCUUCAGAAGCUAAAUAAUUAGGAGAAGCUGUAAAGCCUGACAUAUGACGAUGUUCUGAGGCAUAUUUCCAUAUCCUUGUCCUGUGAAAUCAAUAGGCAGGCACUUCUUGGUGAAGACAGUUUUGUAUUUGGUAAUUCAGAUUAUUUUCCUUUCUUCCUUCGACCUAAUCUCUUAUUGCUGCCUGUGCUGUCUUUAGCUUUAUUAUUUAGGAAUACAAUUUUCUUUUUUUCCAAUUAUUUUUUAAUUGAGCAUAACAAUGAAGUGAUGACUUGCCUUGGAUAAUCAAUGUGUAAUAUGUAUGCAGUGCAGUUCCAUUUCCUAUCAACUUUGAACAAGUUUACCAUUACAAAGCUUUAAAUACUAUAAUUGUCAAGUAGAGAUAAGAGUUAUUGCAUGUAAGUGAAAGCAGUGAAGCCCCUGUCAAUGUUAAUAGUUUCUUUCCUAUUAGCCUGAACAUUUUGAACUGCAUAUUAUUGUUUUGAAUGUCUUCUGCAGAAAGAAUAACUAAUUAAUUAAAAAAAAUGCUACUGACAACAAGGAAUUGAAUUAUUGAAGGGCCUUUUUUUUUUUGUUUUUUUUGG
Molecule: unclassified non-coding RNA, 615 nt
Filed under: Hevea brasiliensis (rubber tree)
Lineage: Eukaryota; Viridiplantae; Streptophyta; Magnoliopsida; Malpighiales; Euphorbiaceae
Source: RNAcentral